RNAcentral lists this ribosomal RNA (464 nucleotides) under uncultured bacterium. Its description in RNAcentral is "bacterial SSU rRNA". It matches the Rfam family "Bacterial small subunit ribosomal RNA", at positions 28 to 507 of the family's 1533-position model. The record is from RNAcentral.
GACGAACGCUGGCGGCGCGCCUAACACAUGCAAGUCGAACGAGCGAGAGAGAGCUUGCUUUCUCGAGCGAGUGGCGGACGGGUGAGUAACGCGUGGGUAACCUGCCUUAUACAGGGGGAUAACAGUUGGAAACGACUGCUAAUACCGCAUAAGCGCACGGUAUCGCAUGAUACAGUGUGAAAAACUCCGGUGGUAUAAGAUGGACCCGCGUCUGAUUAGCUUGUUGGUGAGGUAACGGCCCACCAAGGCGACGAUCAGUAGCCGGCCUGAGAGGGUGAACGGCCACAUUGGGACUGAGACACGGCCCAAACUCCUACGGGAGGCAGCAGUGGGGAAUAUUGCACAAUGGGGGAAACCCUGAUGCAGCAACGCCGCGUGAGUGAAGAAGUAUUUCGGUAUGUAAAGCUCUAUCAGCAGGGAAGAAAAUGACGGUACCUGACUAAGAAGCACCGGCUAAAUACGUG